GGCUCGGUAGUCAAGUGGUUAAGACAUUGCCCUUUCACGGCAAAGACAGGAGUUCAAUUCUCCUUCGAGCUA
This 72-nucleotide transfer RNA is filed under the name Lachnospiraceae bacterium KHCPX20. It matches the Rfam family "tRNA". Rfam says of the family: Transfer RNA (tRNA) molecules are approximately 80 nucleotides in length. Their secondary structure includes four short double-helical elements and three loops (D, anti-codon, and T loops). The record is from Rfam by way of RNAcentral. Lineage: Bacteria; Bacillati; Bacillota; Clostridia; Lachnospirales; Lachnospiraceae.